AUUGAACGCUGGCGGCAGGCCUAACACAUGCAAGUCGAACGAGUGGCGGACGGGUUAGUAAUGUCUGGGAAACUUCCUGAUGGAGGGGGAUAACUACUGGAAACGGUAGCUAAUACCGCAUACCAUAGGAUGUGCCCAGAUGGGAUUAACUAGUAGGUGGGGUAAACGCUCACCUAGGGGACGAUCCCUAGCUGGUCUGCGAGGAUCCCAAGCCAAACUGGAAAAGAGACACGGUCCAGAAGCCUACGGGAGGGAGCAGUGGGGAAUAUUGCGAAAUGGGCGCAAGCCUGAUGCAGCCCUGCCGCGUGUAUGAAGAAGGCCUUCGGGUUGUAAAGUACUUUCAGCGGGGAGGCGUUGACCGCAGAAGAAGCACCGGCUAACUCCGGGCAAGCAGCCGCGGUAAUAC
This 406-nucleotide ribosomal RNA is filed under the name uncultured bacterium. RNAcentral's name for it is "partial 16S ribosomal RNA". It matches the Rfam family "Bacterial small subunit ribosomal RNA", at positions 30 to 526 of the family's 1533-position model. The record is from RNAcentral.